Molecule: long non-coding RNA, 317 nt
Filed under: Malus domestica (apple)
Lineage: Eukaryota; Viridiplantae; Streptophyta; Magnoliopsida; Rosales; Rosaceae
Description: long non-coding RNA (MDOM_LNC002773)
Source: RNAcentral
UUUGUUUUGGGUAUUAUUUUCUAAACCCAAUUUGUAAGUUAAAAUGUGCUAAAUCCAAUGUGUUGCCAAACUUUAAGCUCAAAAUAUUUAAAAAAGGCCUAUAAAAACUCUAAACCCUAACCUAUUAUUUCUCCCCCAUAUAAGAUUCCGGAACCAAACCUCCUCCUGAAGUACCUACAUCCAUCUCCAUAGCACUGUCUACUUCUACCCCAGCUUUCUUUUCCAAAUCUACUCUCAUAUAACAUGUAAUAGAAUCCAUAAACAUUUAUUUCGGGUAGAUUACUUGGGUAAUUUGUGAUGGAAAAGAAUCCAACACA